GCUAACGUAGCUUAACCAAAGCAUAGUGCUGAAGACACUAAGAUGGGCCCUAAAAAGCUCCGAGAGCA
Molecule: transfer RNA, 68 nt
Filed under: Diretmus argenteus (silver spinyfin)
Lineage: Eukaryota; Metazoa; Chordata; Actinopteri; Trachichthyiformes; Diretmidae
Description: tRNA-Phe
Source: RNAcentral